This 253-nucleotide ribosomal RNA is filed under the name uncultured bacterium. RNAcentral's name for it is "partial 16S ribosomal RNA". It matches the Rfam family "Bacterial small subunit ribosomal RNA", at positions 524 to 776 of the family's 1533-position model. The record is from RNAcentral.
UACAGAGGUCUCAAGCGUUGUUCGGAUUCAUUGGGCGUAAAGGGCGCGUAGGCUGCGGGGCAAGUCGGGUGUGAAAUCUCAGAGCUCAACUCUGAAACUGCACUCGAUACUGCUUUGCUCGAGGACUGGAGAGGAGAUUGGAAUUCACGGUGUAGCAGUGAAAUGCGUAGAUAUCAAGAGGAACACCUGAGGUGAAGACGGGUUGCUGGGCCGACACUGACGCUGAAGCGCGAAAGCCAGGGGAGCAAACGGG